CGGGAACCCAUCCACCAACCAACCAGCAAAACUGAAGGGUCGUGUCCCCAUAUAACCUCCUGCAAACGACGGUAAUUGGGUCAACAUUGAACGAUUACGCAGAUAAGCGCCUGCCCGGGCAGCUUCAUUGACUCGGAUGUUCUGCAGGGUCCGGAACUUGGCUGGGUUGGUGUCGUACACAGCUUUGAUUUUCUGAAAUGGAGCACACAAGAUUUCCCCUUGGAGACACUGAGGCUCACAGAGGAGCACGGACUUGCCCAAGGUCACACAGUUGGUACAGAGUUCAUGUUCUCCAGCCACUACUGACACUGCCUCAGACACCAAGUAUCUGAAGUUUUGCUUUGGUGGACAAGUGGAAAUAGGUUCCGAGGAUUCCAAGAAGUCCAGGAACGAAGGCCUCUGAGAUGGAGCCAGGACUAUUUAAUGCGUGCCGGAUACCUAGAAGGCCACAUUCCACAGACAUCCAUUUAAUUAAGGAUCUUGCUGUGUCACCCAAACUGGAGUACAGUGGCAUAAUCUCAGCUCACUGCAACUUAGGCGUCCCAAGCUCAAGUGAUCCUCCCACCUCAGCCUCCUGCGUAGCUGGAACUACAGGUGUGCACCUCAACACCCAGCUAAUUUUCUGUACUUUUGGUAGAGACAGGGUUUCGCCAUGUUGCCCAGGCUGGUCUCAAACUCCUGACCUCAAGAGAUCCGCCCACCUUGGCCUCCCAAAGUACUGGGAUUACAGGCGUGAGCCACCGCACCAGCCCAUACUUUUUUUUCCCCAAAAAGACCGAUGUAAAUGAGUUUGGAAGGAAAAUAUUCUGAAAUCCCAGCAGAGAUUCUUUCUUCAAAACUCUACCUCAAAUGUUGUCAGACAAUUGAAUGAACUAAUCUACAUAGAGUACUUAGCACAUAGUAAGGGCUCAGUGAGUGACGGGGAAAUUUUUAUAUAUCAUUUGUAUUUGCUCAGUUUUCCUCCAAUUGACAGAUCUUCCUUGCAGAAUUAAAU
RNAcentral lists this long non-coding RNA (994 nucleotides) under Homo sapiens (human). Its description in RNAcentral is "HSALNT0194733". Lineage: Eukaryota; Metazoa; Chordata; Mammalia; Primates; Hominidae. The record is from RNAcentral.